GACGAACGCUGGCGGCGUGCUUAACACAUGCAAGUCGAACGGAAAGGCCCUGCUUUUGUGGGGUGCUCGAGUGGCGAACGGGUGAGUAACACGUGAGUAACCUGCCCUUGACUUUGGGAUAACUUCAGGAAACUGGGGUUAAUACCGGAUAGGAGCCCCCGCUGCAUGGUGGGGGUUGGAAAGUUUCGGCGGUUGGGGAUGGACUCGCGGCUGAUCAGCUUGUUGGUGGGGUAGUGGCUUACCAAGGCUUUGACGGGUAGCCGGCCUGGGAGGGUGACCGGGCACAUUGGUACUGAGAUACGGCCCAGACUCCUACGGGAGGCAGCAGUGGGGAAUAUUGCACAAUGGGCGGAAGCCUGAUGCAGCAACGCCGCGUGCGGGAUGACGGCCUUCGGGUUGUAAACCGCUUUCGCCUGUGACGAAGCGUGAGUGACGGUAAUGGGUAAAGAAGCACCGGCUAACUACGUG
This 468-nucleotide ribosomal RNA is filed under the name uncultured bacterium. RNAcentral describes it as "partial 16S ribosomal RNA". It matches the Rfam family "Bacterial small subunit ribosomal RNA", at positions 28 to 507 of the family's 1533-position model. The record is from RNAcentral.